UGGGGAAUUUUGCGCAAUGGGGGAAACCCUGACGCAGCAACGCCGCGUGGAGGAUGAAGUCUCUUGGGACGUAAACUCCUUUCGAUCGGGACGAUAAUGACGGUACCGGAAGAAGAAGCCCCGGCUAACUUCGUGCCAGCAGCCGCGGUAAUACGAGGGGGGCGAGCGUUGUUCGGAAUUAUUGGGCGUAAAGGGUGCGUAGGCGGUUCGGUAAGUCUUGUGUGAAAUCUUCGGGCUCAACUCGAAGUCUGCACGAGAAACUGCCGGGCUUGAGUGUGGGAGAGGUGAGUGGAAUUUCCGGUGUAGCGGUGAAAUGCGUAGAUAUCGGAAGGAACACCUGUGGCGAAAGCGGCUCACUGGACCACAACUGACGCUGAGGCACGAAAGCUAGGGGAGCAAACAGGAUUAGAUACCCUGGUAGUCCUAGCCCUAAACGAUGAUCGCUUGGUGUGACGGGUACCCAAUCCCGCCGUGCCGAAGCUAACGCGUUAAGCGAUCCGCCUGGGGAGUACGGUCGCAAGGCUG
Molecule: ribosomal RNA, 525 nt
Filed under: uncultured bacterium
Lineage: Bacteria
Description: bacterial SSU rRNA
Rfam family: Bacterial small subunit ribosomal RNA
Source: RNAcentral